RNAcentral lists this long non-coding RNA (1291 nucleotides) under Homo sapiens (human). Its description in RNAcentral is "long non-coding RNA NONHSAT159980.1". Lineage: Eukaryota; Metazoa; Chordata; Mammalia; Primates; Hominidae. The record is from RNAcentral.
GCUGCAGUGGCUGGACGAGGCCCGCACCUGUUUCCGCGUGCCCUGGAAGCACUUCGCGCGCAAGGACCUGAGCGAGGCCGACGCGCGCAUCUUCAAGGCCUGGGCUGUGGCCCGCGGCAGGUGGCCGCCUAGCAGCAGGGGAGGUGGCCCGCCCCCCGAGGCUGAGACUGCGGAGCGCGCCGGCUGGAAAACCAACUUCCGCUGCGCACUGCGCAGCACGCGUCGCUUCGUGAUGCUGCGGGAUAACUCGGGGGACCCGGCCGACCCGCACAAGGUGUACGCGCUCAGCCGGGAGCUGUGCUGGCGAGAAGGCCCAGGCACGGACCAGACUGAGGCAGAGGCCCCCGCAGCUGUCCCACCACCACAGGCCCAGGGCUCCCUGCUGGGGAGCUGUACGGGUGGGCAGUAGAGACGACCCCCAGCCCCGGGCCCCAGCCCGCGGCACUAACGACAGGCGAGGCCGCGGCCCCAGAGUCCCCGCACCAGGCAGAGCCGUACCUGUCACCCUCCCCAAGCGCCUGCACCGCGGUGCAAGAGCCCAGCCCAGGGGCGCUGGACGUGACCAUCAUGUACAAGGGCCGCACGGUGCUGCAGAAGGUGGUGGGACACCCGAGCUGCACGUUCCUAUACGGCCCCCCAGACCCAGCUGUCCGGGCCACAGACCCCCAGCAGGUAGCAUUCCCCAGCCCUGCCGAGCUCCCGGACCAGAAGCAGCUGCGCUACACGGAGGAACUGCUGCGGCACGUGGCCCCUGGGUUGCACCUGGAGCUUCGGGGGCCACAGCUGUGGGCCCGGCGCAUGGGCAAGUGCAAGGUGUACUGGGAGGUGGGCGGACCCCCAGGCUCCGCCAGCCCCUCCACCCCAGCCUGCCUGCUGCCUCGGAACUGUGACACCCCCAUCUUCGACUUCAGAGUCUUCUUCCAAGGUCACUGGUGGAAUUCCGGGCACGGCAGCGCCGUGGCUCCCCACGCUAUACCAUCUACCUGGGCUUCGGGCAGGACCUGUCAGCUGGGAGGCCCAAGGAGAAGAGCCUGGUCCUGGUGAAGCUGGAACCCUGGCUGUGCCGAGUGCACCUAGAGGGCACGCAGCGUGAGGGUGUGUCUUCCCUGGAUAGCAGCAGCCUCAGCCUCUGCCUGUCCAGCGCCAACAGCCUCUAUGACGACAUCGAGUGCUUCCUUAUGGAGCUGGAGCAGCCCGCCUAGAACCCAGUCUAAUGAGAACUCCAGAAAGCUGGAGCAGCCCACCUAGAGCUGGCCGCGGCCGCCCAGUCUAAUAAAAAGAACUCCAGAAC